GCCGACGUAGCUCAGGGGUAGAGCAGCUGAUUUGUAAUCAGCCGGUCGUCCGUUCAAAUCGGAUCGUCGGCU
Molecule: transfer RNA, 72 nt
Rfam family: tRNA
About the family: Transfer RNA (tRNA) molecules are approximately 80 nucleotides in length. Their secondary structure includes four short double-helical elements and three loops (D, anti-codon, and T loops). Further hydrogen bonds mediate the characteristic L-shaped molecular structure. tRNAs have two regions of fundamental functional importance: the anti-codon, which is responsible for specific mRNA codon recognition, and the 3' end, to which the tRNAs corresponding amino acid is attached (by aminoacyl-tRNA synthetases). tRNAs cope with the degeneracy of the genetic code in two manners: having more than one tRNA (with a specific anti-codon) for a particular amino acid; and 'wobble' base-pairing, i.e. permitting non-standard base-pairing at the 3rd anti-codon position.